UGAGUACGAGACACUACGGUGUCGAAGCAGUCUAUGUCAUACUUCCAAGAAAAGCUUGCACUGUCAUAAACAAAUAAUGCCUGUACCAUAACCGACACAGGUGGGUAGGUAGAGUAUACUAAGGGGCGCGAGAUAACUCUCUCUAAGGAACUCGGCAAAAUGACUCCGUAACUUCGGGAGAAGGAGUGCCUUAUAUUUUAUAAGGUUGCAAUAACAAGAUCCAAGCAACUGUUUACCAAAAACACAGGUCUCCGCUAAGUCGUAAGACGAUGUAUGGGGGCUGACGCCUGCCCAGUGCCAGAAGGUUAAAGAAGUUGGUUAGUAUUUGCGAAGCUGAUAACUGAAGCCCUGGUGAACGGCGGCCGUAACAAUAACGGUCCUAAGGUAGCGAAAUUCCUUGUCGGGUAAGUUCCGACCCGCACGAAAGGCGUAAUGAUUUGGAUACUGUCUCGGAGAGGGACUCGGUGAAAUAGACUUGUCUGUGAAGAUGCGGACUACUUGCACCAGGACAGAAAGACCCUAUGAAGCUUUACUGUAACUUGAAAUUGAAAUUGGACUUUACUUGCGCAGUAUAGGUGGGAGGCUUUGAGAAUAUUCUUGCGGGAAUAUUGGAGCCAUUAGUGAGAUACCACUCUGGUAAUGUUAGACUUCUAACUUUGUAUCAUUAUCUGGUCAAAGAACAGUUUCAGGCGGGCAGUUUGACUGGGGCGGUCGCCUCCUAAACGGUAACGGAGGCGCACAAAGGUUUCCUCUGAACGGGUAGAAAUCGUAUCUAGAGUGUGAAGGCAUAAGGAAGCUUGACUGUGAGACCUACAAGUCGAGCAGGGACGAAAGUCGGUCUUAGUGAUCUGACGGUGCUGAGUGGAAAGGCCGUCACUCAACGGAUAAAAGUUACUCUAGGAUAACAGGCUGAUCUCCCCCAAGAGUUCACAUCGACGGGGAGGUUUGGCACCUCGAUGUCGGCUCAUCGCAUCCUGGGGCGGUAGUACGUCCCAAGGGUUGGGCUGUUCGCCCAUGAAAGCGGUACGCGAGCUGGGUUCAGAACGUCGUGAGACAGUUCGGUCCAUAUCCGGUGUAAGCGUUAGAAUAUUGAGAGGAGCCUUCUUUAGUACGAGAGGACCGAGAAGGAUGCACCGCUGGUGUACCAGUUAUUGUGCCAACAGUAAACGCUGGGUAGCUAUGUGUGGAGUGGAUAACCGCUGAAAGCAUCUAAGUGGGAAGCCCACCUCAAGAUAAGUAUUCUUAUCACGUAAGUGAAUAAGGUCACGGUAAGACUAACCGUUUGAUAGGCAUUAAGUGUAAAUCUAGUAAUAGACGAGCUGAGAUGUACUAACAGACCGAAGAC
This 1345-nucleotide ribosomal RNA is filed under the name metagenome. Its description in RNAcentral is "bacterial LSU rRNA". It matches the Rfam family "Bacterial large subunit ribosomal RNA", at positions 1564 to 2925 of the family's 2925-position model. The record is from RNAcentral.